Molecule: ribosomal RNA, 320 nt
Filed under: Anelosimus eximius
Lineage: Eukaryota; Metazoa; Arthropoda; Arachnida; Araneae; Theridiidae
Description: partial 12S ribosomal RNA
Source: RNAcentral
AGGUAAUAAAAUUUUAAAUAUAAACUUAUAUAUAUUGACGAUAUUUUUAUUUCUAAAGGAACUUGUUUUUUAAUCGAUAAUCCACGAUAUUUUUUACUUAUAUUAAAAAUUUAUAUAUCACCAUUUUUAUAUAAAUUAAUUUAAAAAUUUAAUUUUAAAUAAUUAAUAUAAAAUUUUAGGUAAAGAUGUAAUCUAUAUAUAAGAUAAAAUGAGUUACAUUAAAUAUAAUUUAAGGAAAAUUUAAAUUAAAUUUUAUUAGAAAAAGAAUUUAGAAGUAAUUAAAUAAAAUUAAUAUUUUAUGAAUUUUAUUAUAAAUAUGU